UACGGAGAAUGCGAGCGUUAUCCGGAUUUAUUGGGUUUAAAGGGUGCGUAGGCGGGCUUUUAAGUCAGCGGUAAAAAUUCGGGGCUCAACCCCGUCCGGCCGUUGAAACUGGGGGCCUUGAGUGGGCGAGAAGAAGGCGGAAUGCGUGGUGUAGCGGUGAAAUGCAUAGAUAUCAUGCAGAACCCCGAUUGCGAAGGCAGCCUUCCGGCGCCCUACUGACGCUGAGGCACGAAAGUGCGGGGAUCGAACAGG
Molecule: ribosomal RNA, 252 nt
Filed under: uncultured bacterium
Lineage: Bacteria
Description: partial 16S ribosomal RNA
Rfam family: Bacterial small subunit ribosomal RNA
Source: RNAcentral